This 186-nucleotide ribosomal RNA is filed under the name uncultured bacterium. Its description in RNAcentral is "partial 16S ribosomal RNA". It matches the Rfam family "Bacterial small subunit ribosomal RNA", at positions 1315 to 1500 of the family's 1533-position model. The record is from RNAcentral.
GCUGCAUGAAGCUGGAAUCGCUAGUAAUCGCGGAUCAGAAUGCCGCGGUGAAUACGUUCCCGGGUCUUGUACACACCGCCCGUCACACCAUGGGAGUCGGGAAUGCCCGAAGUCAGUGACCCAACCGAAAGGGGGGAGCUGCCGAAGGCAGGCCUGGUAACUGGGGUGAAGUCGUAACAAGGUAGC